AUUGAACGCUGGCGGCAGGCCUAACACAUGCAAGUCGAGCGGAUGAAGGGAGCUUGCUCCUGGAUUCAGCGGCGGACGGGUGGGUAAUGCCUAGGAAUCUGCCUGGUAGUGGGGGAUAACGUCCGGAAACGGGCGCUAAUACCGCAUACGUCCUGAGGGAGAAAGUGGGGGAUCUUCGGACCUCACGCUAUCAGAUGAGCCUAGGUCGGAUUAGCUAGUUGGUGGGGUAAAGGCCUACCAAGGCGACGAUCCGUAACUGGUCUGAGAGGAUGAUCAGUCACACUGGAACUGAGACACGGUCCAGACUCCUACGGGAGGCAGCAGUGGGGAAUAUUGGACAAUGGGCGAAAGCCUGAUCCAGCCAUGCCGCGUGUGUGAAGAAGGUCUUCGGAUCGUAAAGCACUUUAAGUUGGGAGGAAGGGCAGUAAGUUAAUACCUUGCUGUUUUGACGUUACCAACAGAAUAAGCACCGGCUAACUUCGU
Molecule: ribosomal RNA, 483 nt
Filed under: uncultured bacterium
Lineage: Bacteria
Description: partial 16S ribosomal RNA
Rfam family: Bacterial small subunit ribosomal RNA
Source: RNAcentral